GAUGAACGCUGGCGGCGUGCCUAAUACAUGCAAGUCGAACGCAUUGUGGUUGAAAUGAUAUGAAGAACUUGUUCAGAUUUGAUUUUCAACAUUGCAAUGAGUGGCGAACGGGUGAGUAACACGUGGGAAACCUACCUCUUAGCAGGGGAUAACAUUUGGAAACAAAUGCUAAUACCGUAUAAUAAUUAAAACCGCAUGGUUUUAGUUUAAAAGAUGGUCUUGCUAUCACUAAGAGAUGGUCCCGCGGUGUAUUAGUUAGUUGGUGAGGUAAUGGCUCACCAAGACAAUGAUACAUAGCCGAGUUGAGAGACUGACCGGCCACAAUGGGACUGAGACACGGCCCAUACUCCUACGGGAGGCAGCAGUAGGGAAUCUUCCACAAUGGACGAAAGUACUGAUGGAGCAACGCCGCGUCGUGUGAUGAAGGUUUCGGCUCGUAAAACACUGUUGUAAGAGAAGAAUGACAUUGAGAGUAACU
This 478-nucleotide ribosomal RNA is filed under the name uncultured bacterium. RNAcentral's name for it is "bacterial SSU rRNA". It matches the Rfam family "Bacterial small subunit ribosomal RNA", at positions 28 to 466 of the family's 1533-position model. The record is from RNAcentral.